UGAGCUCCUCCAGUUCAUGCAUGGGUGUUUAAAGUUUCAAGUGAUUCCAGUUAAAUAUUCUGUUUUCAGACAAAUUGGUGGGGACUGUCCAAUGAAGACAUCUGCCCUGUUCCACUGAAGUCCCUGCAAUUACCCUUCUCUGACAGCACAUGGAUUCACCAUUUGCCGUUCUGCUCUAGAGGGAGUACAAUGAAAAUUGCUAAUGUGUUUGCAAACGAUGCCUAUGCAGAAGUACUCUGUGCAAAAGAAGGAUCCCAAUCUUACUCAUGCCGGAUGGAGGUGAGAGCAGCAACCCACGGCGGUGCUGGGGAAGCCUUCCCUGCAAAUCCGCCCCUCGUGCUAACACGGUCUGUCGGGAGACCCGUGCCUGUCGCAGCGCCACCUGGCGGGCUGCGCGCCGGCCGCGGAGAUGCGCGGGCACUUGCAAUUGAUCGCGCAUGUGCCGGACCUUGACAACAACGCCGCCGGUAUUGGUGGAGCAGGAGAGCGGCGUGUUGCAAAACUGCUUUGGAAAUGUGGCGAGGACGUCUUAGCUGAAACGGGUCUGGAUUGACUUUUUUUGUUUGUUGCUUAAUUGUUUUCGGGCGGGGGAAAGGUCUCUUUUUCAGGGAAGAGCUGGGAGCCAGGGCGACUCGUCGCUGAGGGUUUGGUUUUUGCACAACGGGAGCGGAGCACGUGCCGGGUGCAGAGGUGGUGCCGGGUGCAGGGGUGGUGCCGGGUGCAGACGCGGCGCCGGGCGCCACCGCCCGCCUCCCUGGCGACGCCGAUGCCGCCGCCGCCGCCGCCGGGACCGAGCCGCCGCGCGGGUGAGUCGCGGGGCUGGGGCCGCUU
This 831-nucleotide long non-coding RNA is filed under the name Crocodylus porosus (Australian saltwater crocodile). RNAcentral describes it as "lncRNA (ENSCPRG00005006041.1)". The record is from RNAcentral. Lineage: Eukaryota; Metazoa; Chordata; Crocodylia; Crocodylidae.